CUCGGAGUUUGAUCCUGGCUCAGAUUGAACGCUGGCGGAAUGCUUUACACAUGCAAGUCGAACGGUAGAGGGGGCAACCCCUUGAGAGUGGCGAACGGGUGAGUAAUAUAUCGGAACGUGCCCAGUCGUGGGGGAUAACGUAGUGAAAAUUACGCUAAUACCGCAUACGAUCUAAGUGGAUAGAAGGGCGGGUAUCGACAAGCCUCGCGCGAUUGGAGCGGCCGAUAUCAGAUUAGGUAGUUGGUGGUAAGGUAACGCUACCAACCG
RNAcentral lists this ribosomal RNA (267 nucleotides) under uncultured Limnohabitans sp. Its description in RNAcentral is "partial 16S ribosomal RNA". It matches the Rfam family "Bacterial small subunit ribosomal RNA", at positions 1 to 275 of the family's 1533-position model. Lineage: Bacteria; Pseudomonadati; Pseudomonadota; Betaproteobacteria; Burkholderiales; Comamonadaceae. The record is from RNAcentral.